RNAcentral lists this ribosomal RNA (253 nucleotides) under uncultured bacterium. Its description in RNAcentral is "partial 16S ribosomal RNA". It matches the Rfam family "Bacterial small subunit ribosomal RNA", at positions 524 to 776 of the family's 1533-position model. The record is from RNAcentral.
UACGUAUGGUGCAAGCGUUAUCCGGAUUUACUGGGUGUAAAGGGAGCGUAGACGGCGCUGCAAGUCUGAAGUGAAAGCCCGGGGCUCAACCCCGGUACUGCAUUGGAAACUGUCGUACUAGAGUGUCGGAGGGGUAAGUGGAAUUCCUAGUGUAGCGGUGAAAUGCGUAGAUAUUAGGAGGAACACCAGUGGCGAAGGCGGCUUACUGGACAGUAACUGACGUUGAGGCUCGAAAGCGUGGGGAGCAAACAGG